RNAcentral lists this long non-coding RNA (578 nucleotides) under Vigna radiata. RNAcentral describes it as "long non-coding RNA (VRAD_LNC004981)". The record is from RNAcentral. Lineage: Eukaryota; Viridiplantae; Streptophyta; Magnoliopsida; Fabales; Fabaceae.
GGGGUCAACAAACAUGGGAAAAGUGUUCUCAACCUAACAUGAACCCUUUCCUCACCAGGAAAACUGUUUCUCUCAAGCACACUGGUGUAUAAGGAUGCGUGUUUCUCACUCUUAGCAACACAAAGGUCACACAAUUCAACUUUGCCUUUCAUUUCUACCAUAAUGAAAACAUUUACCUGUAAGUUUGCAUCACAAGGACUUUCAAGGCUUGUAUUUUGGUUGGGCUAAGAAAGAAAAAUUGGUUUUUCUGGACAACAAAGCACCUUGAGCUAAGGAAGCAUUCAAAUCAGCACAAUUCAACAAUUCCACUUCUUAACAUCAAGAAUUUGCAACCAAUUUUCAAUUCUUUUUCCAACUUUUCAUCUAAUGAUUCUUUUUCUUGAUCUUGUUCCUUUUUCUUCUUUUUCUUCACAUUUUUCUUUUUCUUUUCUUGUCAAUUUCUUUUUGUAGCAUCAACCACCCCAAACUUAAACAUUUUCCUUUACCAAAAUGAAUGCUUCACUUCUCUCAAGGUAAAGAGGUUAAAGUUUGCAAUGUUGGUCAAAAGGCUCAAGAAUGGGUUCACUGUCUCUUCCAGG